Molecule: ribosomal RNA, 427 nt
Filed under: uncultured bacterium
Lineage: Bacteria
Description: bacterial SSU rRNA
Rfam family: Bacterial small subunit ribosomal RNA
Source: RNAcentral
UGGGGAAUUUUGGACAAUGGGCGCAAGCCUGAUCCAGCCAUGCCGCGUGCGGGAAGAAGGCCUUCGGGUUGUAAACCGCUUUUGUCAGGGAAGAAAUCCUUUGAGCUAAUACCUCGGGGGGAUGACGGUACCUGAAGAAUAAGCACCGGCUAACUACGUGCCAGCAGCCGCGGUAAUACGUAGGGUGCGAGCGUUAAUCGGAAUUACUGGGCGCAAAGCGUGCGCAGGCGGUCUUGCAAGACGGAGGUGAAAUCCCCGGGCUCAACCUGGGAGCUGCCUUUGUGACUGCAUAGCUAGAGUACGGUAGAGGGGGAUGGAAUUCCGCGUGUAGCAGUGAAAUGCGUAGAUAUGCGGAGGAACACCGAUGGCGAAGGCAAUCCCCUGGACCUGUACUGACGCUCAUGCACGAAAGCGUGGGGAGCAAACA